RNAcentral lists this ribosomal RNA (446 nucleotides) under uncultured bacterium. Its description in RNAcentral is "partial 16S ribosomal RNA". It matches the Rfam family "Bacterial small subunit ribosomal RNA", at positions 338 to 795 of the family's 1533-position model. The record is from RNAcentral.
CCUACGGGAGGCAGCAGUAGGGAAUUUUCGGCAAUGGGGGGAACCCUGAUCGAGCAACGCCGCGUGAACGAAGAAGUUAUUCGUAAUGUAAAGUUCUUUUAACAGGGAAGAAAGAGAAAUUUGACGGUACCUGAAGAAUAAGCUCCGGCUAACUACGUGCCAGCAGCCGCGGUAAUACGUAGGGAGCGAGCGUUAUCCGGAAUUAUUGGGCGUAAAGGGUAGGUAGAUGGCAUAGUAAGUCUUUGGUAAAAAUGCUGGGUUCAACCCAGUAGGGCAAAAGAUACUGCAAAGCUAGAGUAUGACAGAGGCAAGUGGAACUACAUGUGUAGCGGUAAAAGGCGUAAAUAUAUGUAAGAACACCAGUGGCGAAGGCGGCUUGCUGGGUCGAUACUGACAUUGAGGCACGAAAGCGUGGGGAGCAAACAGGAUUAGAUACCCGGGUAGUC